GAUGAAGAACGUAGCGAAAUGCGAUAAGUAAUGUGAAUUGCAGAAUUCAGUGAAUCAUCGAAUCUUUGAACGCACAUUGCGCCCGCCAGUAUUCAGGCGGGCAUGCCUGUUCGAGCGUCAUUUCAACCAUCAAGCCCCAGGCUUGUGUUGGGGACCUGCGGCUGCCGCAGGCCCUGAAAACCAGUGGCGGGCUCGCUGUCACACCGGGCGUAGUAGAUUUUAUCUCGCUCAGGGCGUGCUGCGGGUUCCGGCCGUUAAAAAGCCUUUUUUACCCAAGGUUGACCUCGGAUCAGGUAGGAAGACCCGCUGAACUUAAGCAUAUCAAUAAGCGGAGGA
Molecule: unclassified non-coding RNA, 336 nt
Filed under: soil metagenome
Description: partial contains 5.8S ribosomal RNA, internal transcribed spacer 2, and large subunit ribosomal RNA
Rfam family: 5.8S ribosomal RNA (bases 1-120)
Source: RNAcentral